Molecule: non-coding RNA, 421 nt
Organism: Leptonychotes weddellii (Weddell seal)
Lineage: Eukaryota; Metazoa; Chordata; Mammalia; Carnivora; Phocidae
Source: RefSeq, a predicted model, not a curated record
GCCAGCCCCGUGCCCUGCACGCCUGGCUCUGCUCGGCAGCCUGCCGGUGAGCGGAGAGCCGGUGGAGCAGCAGCCGCGCGUGGUUCGGGUCUUGUCACCAUUUCUGCGCCUGCUGACCUGCCCUGGAGAGGGAGAAGGCGGCAGCACCUCAGAGAUCUUAAAACCUUGAAAAAGGCAGAAGAACUAGGAAGAGAAAUAAGUGAAAGAGAGAAAAUUAAAGGAAAGACCUCAAAGCAAAGAAACGGAAAGGAACCAAAGGACACAGAUCUGGGAUUUGGGCCUGGUGACCAGUGAAGCCCUCUGGCUCAACAGAGAAAACAUGGAGGCUUUGGUGCCCCUCCGUUCCCCGAAGAACCACAGAUCACUGCAGCCUCUGUACCACCGUCACGGCCUGUGACUCUGAGGUGCAGGUUUGGCCAUG